GACGAACGCUGGCGGCGUGCUUAACACAUGCAAGUCGAACGGAAAGGCCCUGCUUUUGUGGGGUGCUCGAGUGGCGAACGGGUGAGUAACACGUGAGUAACCUGCCCUUGACUUUGGGAUAACUUCAGGAAACUGGGGCUACUACCGGAUAGGAGCUCCUGCUGCAUGGUGGGGGUUGGAAAGUUUCGGCGGUUGGGGAUGGACUCGCGGCUUAUCAGCUUGUUGGUGGGGUAGUGGCUUACCAAGGCUUUGACGGGUAGCCGGCCUGAGAGGGUGACCGGCCACAUUGGGACUGAGAUACGGCCCAGACUCCUAUGGGAGGCAGCAGUGGGGAAUAUUGCACAAUGGGCGGAAGCCUGAUGCAGCAACGCCGCGUGCGGGAUGACGGCCUUCGGGUUGUAAACCGCUUUCGCCUGUGACGAAGCGUGAGUGACGGUAAUGGGUAAAGAAGCACCGGCUAACUACGUG
This 468-nucleotide ribosomal RNA is filed under the name uncultured bacterium. RNAcentral's name for it is "partial 16S ribosomal RNA". It matches the Rfam family "Bacterial small subunit ribosomal RNA", at positions 28 to 507 of the family's 1533-position model. The record is from RNAcentral.